RNAcentral lists this ribosomal RNA (253 nucleotides) under uncultured bacterium. Its description in RNAcentral is "partial 16S ribosomal RNA". It matches the Rfam family "Bacterial small subunit ribosomal RNA", at positions 524 to 776 of the family's 1533-position model. The record is from RNAcentral.
UACGGAGGGUGCGAGCGUUGUCCGGAAUUAUUGGGCGUAAAGAGCUCGUAGGCGGUCUGUUGCGUCCGCUGUGAAAACCCGGGGCUUAACCCCUGGCUUGCAGUGGAUACGGACAGACUAGAGGUAGGUAGGGGAGAAUGGAAUUCCCGGUGUAGCGGUGAAAUGCGCAGAUAUCGGGAGGAACACCGGUGGCGAAGGCGGUUCUCUGGGCCUUACCUGACGCUGAGGAGCGAAAGCGUGGGGAGCGAACAGG